AAGUCGUAACAAGGUAACCGUAGGUGAACCUGCGGUUGGAUCAUUAUAGAAAUGAUUUUAUUAUUGAGGGAUCAACCUUUAAACAGUUGAUCACUCUUUACCCCAAAACCAUGUGAAUUUGUAUUUAUAAAGGAAACAAUGUGUAAAAACUUGUUUCCUUUAAUUUUAUAAACAUUUUUAAACCUUUUUUUUUAUAUUUAAAAAAUAAAAUAAAAAAAAAACAACUUUUGACAAUGGAUCUCUUGGCUCUC
RNAcentral lists this unclassified non-coding RNA (251 nucleotides) under fungal sp. RNAcentral describes it as "partial internal transcribed spacer region". The stretch from base 1 to 46 matches the Rfam family "Eukaryotic small subunit ribosomal RNA", at positions 1786 to 1831 of the family's 1831-position model. Lineage: Eukaryota; Fungi. The record is from RNAcentral.